AGUUUGGCUGUGUGUAUGCUCCACUUGGACUGCAGCCAAAUGGCCAUGAAAGAAAGUACAUCCUGGGAUUUAUGCCCCAGGGCAACGUGACUCACUGGAAUAAGACACGAAGGACAUCCUGCUUCUGGGGCAGGGGGAACUGGAACAGAGCCCAGGCCUUUCCAGCCAGUUUCUCCUUAUCUCACGUUGUUGUGUUCCCAGCACAUUCUAUGGUUUUUCUUGAGAACUGCAAGUAAGAAAGAGGAGAGAACUGGGUUGGUCCAAGGCCAUCUGCAGAACUGUCCUGCAAGUAUUUGUUGCCAAGGUCCUGCAGUUCCUUUGCCUAUGGUUCUUUCCUUCCCUUAAGACGACCAGCACUUGCCUGGCCAGAUUACAUUGUACCUUGACCCUAGUUACUGGUCUUGGGAUUGGGGAAGAAGGGAUUGAUCUUGAGAAGGGUGCAUGCUUUCUUUAAAGGAGAAGCCUUCGGAUCUUUUUUACAUCUUCAAGCAUGGAAGCAGCACUGACUUUUAACAGGGAAGAAUGGGCCACUUCUGCAGACCCAGGAGGUUCAGCGCAAUCUGAGAAUGCAAGAUUUUUUAGUGCAUCAACACGGAUAUCCCUAUUUCAAGUAUCAGGCUCCUAUUUGUUUGCAAUUAGGAUCCUGACUUUGGCAUAGCAAACCUACUGGAGUUGAGCAUCCAACCUUCUCUGAAAUUCUACUAUUCUUAUGUCUAAGUCCUAGAAAACAAUGUCCAUGCCGCCAUCUUGAAAGCGGAGACCAGGCCCACACCAGACACACCCAACCUGCCAGUACUUUGAUCUUGGACUUUCCAACUUCCAGAAUGCAGGCAAAUUCCUCGGUUCAAGGAGGCCCACCAGGUGGCUGUCUGGGGGUCAUCAAAGGUGACCUGAAAAGCCCUUUUCUGCACUGGAGACAUGACAAUGGAAUAGGGACAACAUCUCUUAACAUCAGGAAGGUUACCAGAGGUGACUUGCUGGGAGAAAAGGUGAGAGCAGGGAAGAGACCAUGUUUACUAUUUGGGGGCAUAGUACAUUUGGAACAGCGACCCUGGGGGUCAGUUAUAAGGCAUACGGAUGAGCAGAAGGAUCCCUAGAGAGCUUUACUCCCAGACAGGAGGAGAUGGAGACGUGUGUGUACGUGAACUUGUUCACUGAGAGCAGCUGUGAUGAUGUACCUAAAAUCGGAAAUGUGGGUAGGAGUGACAGUGUGCCAGAGCCUAAGACAGGGGUGGUUGGUGGGUCCUUUGGGGAGCGACAAGGGGGUAGUGGCUGCAGCCCCUCCCCAGAGUGUGUGUGUGUGUGUGUGUUAUGGUGAAUGAAGGGGAAGGGAUCGUGGUAAUGCAUGAUAUUGCAAGGGUGAUGGGAGCAUUGGCUUGCUUCUUCAUCCUUACAGCUGGGGUUGACGCAUAUUUUCCCACCUGCCUCUUUGUUAAAAUCUUUGCCUUUUUAAGCAGCUGAGAAGGAGGGCG
This is a long non-coding RNA of Chlorocebus sabaeus (green monkey), 1472 nucleotides long. RefSeq lists it as uncharacterized. The record is from RefSeq and is a predicted model, not a curated record. Lineage: Eukaryota; Metazoa; Chordata; Mammalia; Primates; Cercopithecidae.